Molecule: ribosomal RNA, 406 nt
Filed under: uncultured bacterium
Lineage: Bacteria
Description: partial 16S ribosomal RNA
Rfam family: Bacterial small subunit ribosomal RNA
Source: RNAcentral
AUUGAACGCUGGCGGCAUGCCUAACACAUGCAAGUCGAACGAGUCGCGCAGGGGUGAGACACGUCUGGGACCCUGCCUUAUGGCGGGGGAUACCUCGUGGAACCGGUGGCUAAUACCGCAUACCAUCCGAUUUGACCUGAUGGGAUUAGCUUGUUGGUGGGGUAACGGCUAACCAAGGCCACGAUCCAUAGCUGAUCUGAGAGGUUGACCGGCCACACGGGAACUGAGACACGGUCCAGACUCCUACGGGAGGCAGCAGUGGGGAAUAUUGCACAAUGGGCGCAAGCCUGAUACAGCCAUGCCGCGUGUAUGAAGAAGGCCUUCGGGUUGUAAAGUACUGUCAGCAGGGAGGCGGUACCCGCACAAAAAGCACCGGCUAACUCCGUGCCAGCAGCCGCGGUAAUAC